This is a long non-coding RNA of Mytilus trossulus (common blue mussel), 425 nucleotides long. RefSeq lists it as uncharacterized. The transcript is spliced from 4 exons. NCBI's taxonomy places the organism in Eukaryota, Metazoa, Mollusca, Bivalvia, Mytilida, Mytilidae. The record is from RefSeq and is a predicted model, not a curated record.
CGCCAUUUUACGACCUUUCCGGCUUUUAAUUGCACACAUGGAUUUCGUAUCUUGUCCAAUUAUGGAAGUCUGUUUUGAAAAGACAUCACAGUGGUAAACAGUGUAAAAUUAUAGAACUAAGCUGAACUUCUACGAUGAUGUAGCUUCACAAUUGAAGACAGGAAUUUAACAGUUAUGUUGUUCAAACUAUUUAUGCUGGUUCAUUUAUGUGUAUCAUUUCCGCUGAAAUGCCCUGAACCUGCGCAAUGGGCACUGCGUGCAAAUGGUCACUGUGCAGAUCCGUCAAAAUACUUUUGUCUAAGGAAUGAUCUUAUCAAGGGAUAUUCUGAAAACUGUACAAGAUCAGAUUUUCAACAACCAGGUAGAAAAGCAGUCCUUCGUGGAGGAAUAGAUGCAGAUGUUUGCUCUGUAGAAAGAUAUCAGCC